RNAcentral lists this ribosomal RNA (471 nucleotides) under uncultured Actinomycetes bacterium. Its description in RNAcentral is "bacterial SSU rRNA". It matches the Rfam family "Bacterial small subunit ribosomal RNA", at positions 411 to 895 of the family's 1533-position model. The record is from RNAcentral. Lineage: Bacteria; Bacillati; Actinomycetota; Actinomycetes.
AAGGCCUUAGGGUUGUAAACCUCUUUUAGCAGGGAAGAAGCGAAAGUGACGGUACCUGCAGAAAAAGCACCGGCUAACUACGUGCCAGCAGCCGCGGUAAUACGUAGGGUGCAAGCGUUGUCCGGAAUUAUUGGGCGUAAAGAGCUCGUAGGCGGUUUGUCACGUCUGCUGUGAAAUCCAAAAGCUCAACCUCUGACCUGCAGUGGGUACGGGCAAACUAGAGUGCGGUAGGGGAGAAUGGAAUUCCUGGUGUAGCGGUGGAAUGCGCAGAUAUCAGGAGGAACACCGAUGGCGAAGGCAGAUCUCUGGGCCGUUACUGACGCUGAGGAGCGAAAGCGUGGGGAGCGAACAGGAUUAGAUACCCUGGUAGUCACACCGUAGACGGUGGGUACUAGAUAUAGGCUUACAUUCCACGUAGUCCGUGUCGCACUACACAUUAAGUCCCCGCCUGGGGAGUACUGCCGCAAGGCU